This 1308-nucleotide long non-coding RNA is filed under the name Sus scrofa (pig). RNAcentral's name for it is "lncRNA (ENSSSCG00070017023.1)". Lineage: Eukaryota; Metazoa; Chordata; Mammalia; Artiodactyla; Suidae. The record is from RNAcentral.
GAGCCGGCAGAGCGUCUGCACCUGCCAGCUACUCAGCGCACCUUUGGAACUCAGCUGGAAUUUGGGGUCACUCUUCGGGAUCAUGGAUCAACCACGGAGCUGGUUAUUGCUGCGAUGAGAACAGCGGCUGCUGCUGCUGUGUCCCCAGAGUGAGUUUCAUGUAACUCUGCAACAUUGAUGCACUGAGGAAGACAAGGAAAAGUCCUGAGGAGGCUCAGAGCUGGCGCAAGCUCCGUGUGUGUGUGUGUGAGCGUGGGUGAGGAGGAGGCACAUCUCGAACCAUGUCCUAGAGGUCAGCCUACCUGCAAGUGACAGUGAGGACCACGUGAGGCACGCUUUGCACUGAAAAAGGCCCUGGGCUUCUUUUGCAGAUAUCUCAACCCCAUCUUUAAUGGCCAGUUCAUCACACUAAGGGGAAGGAGAUGUUUGAUUUUGUCUGAAUGCAAAAAGUUCAGUAGAUCCUAGAGGAAGCCUCCAGAGACUCGUUACAGAGCAAAGAAGAGGUUCUAAGGUGGAUGGGAAUCUUCACCCCCACAGAGAAGGAUGUGUGUCCAUGAGGAAAGGUGCCUUAAAAAUACUGGCCGAAUCAAAGCAAACAAGUGAACUUGAAAAUGGACCACAAAGAAAGAUGAACACAUUGCCCUGGAUGAACACAUCCUUCGGACCUGCUCACUCCACUGGGAUGGUUUGAAGGCAGAUUUGGCCUCCCUACUGGCCUGUGGGCUCUUGGAAGGGAGGGCAUUUGUCUUGUUCGCAGGUGAGCAAUUUGGAGCCUUGCUUGGGAUCAGGCGUGGAUGAACUUCCCAGUAACUGUGAGGCCAAAGGGAAAUUUCGUGUUUCAGCACCAGAUCAAGUUCAGUCUGCAACCUGAGAAGACAUGCAGGCGUCAUCCUCUCUCCCUGUGUUUUGGUGAAACAUGCUAAUAAUAUUGCUCCUUAUGUUUGGACAACGUCCCAAGUCACCAGUACGGCAAAGACACUGCCAUCUGAGAAUAGACCAAAGGAAGAAUGGAAGUUAAGAGCGAACAGGUGAUGUCAAGAACAGAAUUGCUGAACAGAACAGAGUGAAACCAUUAAACACCGUUAGGAUCCCAAGCCAGGCAGUCACCCUGACACGUGGACGAGAUCCCUGAUGUGCUGCCUGCAGCCAGCCAUCUGUGCCCUCGGUCAGGCUCACUCCCUCAAGCCCCGUGGAACCUGAAGGAAUGACAUACAGAGACACCUGGGAUGUCCUGAAAAGAUCAUUUAGUUUGCAGUCCGAGCACUGCAGAACCAAACUUUCACCCUCCUAGUCAUGCAAACUUGAACC